CAGAGCGUAGUUUAAAAUAAGCAGAGCACUUCCCUUACACCGAAGAGACACCCGUGCGAAUCGGGUCGCCCUGA
This 74-nucleotide transfer RNA is filed under the name Stomias boa (scaly dragonfis). RNAcentral describes it as "tRNA-Val". It matches the Rfam family "tRNA". Rfam says of the family: Transfer RNA (tRNA) molecules are approximately 80 nucleotides in length. Lineage: Eukaryota; Metazoa; Chordata; Actinopteri; Stomiiformes; Stomiidae. The record is from RNAcentral.